UGGCGGCAUGCUUAACACAUGACAGUACGACGACGAAAGUCCGUUCGGGGCGAGUAGAGUGGCGGACGGGUGAGUAACGCGUGGGAAUCUACCCUAGAGCGGGGACACCGGGGAAACCCGGGCUAAUACCGCAUACGUCCUACGGGAGAAAGAGGGCCUCUGCUUGCACGCUCUCACUCCAGGAUGAGCCCGCGUCCCAUCAGCUAGUUGGUAAGGUAAUGGCUUACCAAGGCCACGAUCGGUAGCUGGUCUGAGAGGAUGAUCAGCCACACUGGGACUGAGACACGGCCCAGACUCCUACGGGAGGCAGCAGUGGGGAAUAUUGGACAAUGGGCGCAAGCCUGAUCCAGCAAUGCCGCGUGUGUGAAGAAGGCCUGCGGGUUGUAAAGCACUUUCAGUGGGGAAGAACAGAUUCGGGUCAAUACCCCGGAGCCCUGACGUUACCCACAGAAGAAGCACCGGCUAACUCCGUG
RNAcentral lists this ribosomal RNA (473 nucleotides) under uncultured bacterium. RNAcentral describes it as "bacterial SSU rRNA". It matches the Rfam family "Bacterial small subunit ribosomal RNA", at positions 37 to 507 of the family's 1533-position model. The record is from RNAcentral.